This 341-nucleotide unclassified non-coding RNA is filed under the name uncultured Stachybotryaceae. RNAcentral's name for it is "sequence contains ITS1". The stretch from base 1 to 105 matches the Rfam family "5.8S ribosomal RNA", at positions 50 to 154 of the family's 154-position model. Lineage: Eukaryota; Fungi; Ascomycota; Sordariomycetes; Hypocreales; Stachybotryaceae. The record is from RNAcentral.
GAAAUGCGAUAAGUAAUGUGAAUUGCAGAAUUCAGUGAAUCAUCGAAUCUUUGAACGCACAUUGCGCCCGCCAGUAUUCUGGCGGGCAUGCCUGUUCGAGCGUCAUUUCAACCCUCAGGCCCCCAGUGCCUGGCGUUGGGGAUCGGCUCGGCGUGCCUCUCCGCGGCCUCAAAAACCGCGGGGGGAGCACGCUGCCGGCCCCGAAAUUCAGUGGCGGUCUCGCUGUAGUACCCCUCUGCGUAGUAGCACAACUCGCAUUGGAACGCGGCGCGGCCAUGCCGUAAAACACCCCACUUCUGAAAGUUGACCUCGGAUCAGGUAGGAAUACCCGCUGAACUUAA